AUGUCUCCAUUUAGCUGGAUUUUCCUUGUUGCUAUUUUAAAAGGUGUCCAGUGUGAGGUGCAACUGGUGGAGUCUGGGGGAGACCUGAGACAGCCUGGAGGGUCUCUGAAGCUCUCCUGUGCAGCCUCUGGGUUCACCUUCAGUAACUAUCCUAUGCACUGGGUUCGCCAAGCCCCAGGGAAAGGUCUACAGUGGAUCGCAAAAAUUAGUAGUAGUGGUGGUAGUACAUACUACCCAGAGUCUGUGAAGGGCCGAUUCACCAUCUCCAGAGACAACGCCAAGAACAUAGUGUAGAUUGCAGAUGAACAGUCUGAGAACCGAGGACACAGCCAUGUAUUACUGUGCAAGAGACACAGUGAGAGGAAGUCAGUGUGAACCUAGACAGAAACCUCUCUGUGAGUGUCAACAGGACAGGAUCCUCCUGAUCCAAGAGCAGGUGCAGAUGUAG
Non-coding RNA from Elephantulus edwardii (Cape elephant shrew), 448 nucleotides. The record is from the annotation of a RefSeq genome assembly. NCBI's taxonomy places the organism in Eukaryota, Metazoa, Chordata, Mammalia, Macroscelidea, Macroscelididae.